UAUGUGCAUAGGAUGUAUAUCUAUAUAGGUGCCAUCUGGUUUUCAAGUUGCCAUAUAUAUAUUUGUGGCUACCAUACUUAGAUAUGUUGUGCAAAAGGACACGAAAUAAGUUGAUUCACUUUGAAAGAUGAAUAAAGGGAUUCGUAGUGACGGAUAAACGAGAGGAAUAGUUCUAUUAUAACAGAGACAGGGUGGAGGAGCCUAAGGUCGAUGGCGAAUAGCAGCAAGAGGGAGGAUUCGUCUUCUCUACAACGAAUUGUAAAACGACAAGACUUGACGACUUCGAGAAUGUCAUCGGCAUCUUCCUCGCCUUCGUCAUCGGAUGAGACUGAGAGCAUCACCCGUCCUGGAAAUAAUUAUCGAGUCUUCAGUCUAUCAAAUCGCGUAUAUCGCGUUGAUACCGACCACACGACAGGUCCCGACUUGCCACGAAGAGAGGAAAACCCAUUUAGCUUUAAGCAUUUCCUUCAAAAUGAACCACAGACUAAUUACCAGCUUGCUGGAGCUAGACCCAAAGUUUAUUCUCCACCUGUUACGAGUCCUGAGCCUCCUGGAUUGGACACUGAAACUGGAGUUUAUCCUCGUAAUCCUACAGAGUUGCCUGAUUUUGUUCAGGAUCACUUAGUAAUUGAACAGUGCUACUUGAAUCAUGAGGCAGCUGCGCAACCUAUUGUCGAUUUGGAAAAUCUUCCAGACUUUGCAUUGAACAGUGUCGAGCAAAGACAACCUCGUCAUUGGAAUGAACCUAAAAAAAGCAAGUCAGAAGUCUUAGGGGACCUCCCCUUUGACUUAACUGGAACUUUAGAUAGGGGACGUAGAGAACGCUCUGUACCAAGUGCAGUGCCUCAAGGGCCUUUGGAUUUACCAGCCUUUGACAGGCCCAAUGAUGAACCCAUAGAGAGACCUGAAUCAAUAGGAUUCCCAUUUGAUUUACAAUUACCAUUAGCUGAAUCCGAUCCCAAUAAUUCCAGUACAGGUGCCAGAAGUUGUCCUCCAAGCAGUGAAGCUAAUGUAACAAAAUCAUUGCCUGAUUUUUUAAGUGAUGGUCCCAUUCGCACUAGAGCAGCUCCAACACCAGAUCUUGGUCCAGGAUCGAGUGUUCCAGAAUCCACAGACCGUAGGUUAAUACUUGAAAAUGAGAGAUUACGCCACGAUUUGGAAAUUAUUCGUCGACAAAAUGAUGAACGCGCAAGGCGGAUACAAUUGUUGGAAACGGAAUUGGCCACGAGGAGAGUCGUCGAUCACGAGGAAACAGCACACUUAGAAAAAGCCAUGGAACAAGUAGAAGAUAAUUUAAAACGCAGCACGAGAAGAGCCGUAAAUGCAGAAAGUACAGUAACUGCAUUGAAACAAGAAAUAAAAGUCCUAACGAGAUAUCGGUGCUGCGAGCUGAAAACAGGGAACUCAGAGCAGGCAUGGGAGCUGGUUACGGUGUAAAUACUCCAGGAAGUCUGGACGGUCGGAUAAGACGUUUGACCAGUGACCUAAAGACUGCAGCUUCUACCGCUGAAGUGUCUCUCCGGCAAUUAAUGACCGGUGUGGAUAAUCUGCGCGUUAUUGCAUCCGCCCUGGAGAACGUAGACAGGAUAGAGGAUAGGACCAAAGAUUUUCUACCUGACUUCGAGGAAGACAACGCUACGGGUCCAGCGUUAUAACGUCCUCUUGUUGAAAUUUUGAAUUCCCAUUGAAUCCCUUACUCGCGUCAAGUUCCUCGGCUCAUGUCACACCGCGUAACACUGCUAAUAGAUUUUACUUAUUCACACUGUGAAACAUGUUAUUUAUAACUUAUUUGUUGUACUUCUUCUUAUACGUUAAUAACGAUAGGUUCUAUUAAGAUCUAUUUAAAUGUCGAGUAAACCCUAUUUCGGGUUGGCUUAUCUAUCGCUCUUGGAUCAACCCCUAUUUGCUCGAUAACAAAAAUCAUCACAUGUUAAAUCAUCACUUUUGGAUUUUAUCAUCUACGACACGAUGCCAUCUGGGAUAAUUGAAUAAGCGACGAGAAGUUUUAAAAAUAUUCAAUUUUUUACACGAUCAACACAAUAUACAUUCUUUAAGGUGAAAAUGUAACGUAAUGGCUAUAUGCGUUUACACAGAUACCAAUGUUUUUCAUUGAGAAAAUUGCAUCGUCCUGCUUUUAUAAAUUAAUUAUAAUCCUUGUAAUAUCCGGCAAAUGUUUAUCCAUCAUAAAUGGCAUUGCAGCUUCGGUCUAUUUCCAAAUAUAAUAGUGGCGGCGGCAACGCUUUUGGAAAAAGCGAAAUUUCACGCGACCUAAACGAAAUUAAUCCUUGUAACUUUCUUGAAAAAUAUCGAGGAUAUACAUUCCGGUGCAAAAUCAACUAUCUACGUAUACGUAUCGUUAAUUGGUCAAAUCAAUUAAAAUAAAUCAUUUAUGUAUAUGAAAUUGAAAAA
Molecule: RNA transcript, 2409 nt
Organism: Cephus cinctus (wheat stem sawfly)
Lineage: Eukaryota; Metazoa; Arthropoda; Insecta; Hymenoptera; Cephidae
Exons: 8
Source: RefSeq, a predicted model, not a curated record